This 659-nucleotide ribosomal RNA is filed under the name uncultured fungus. RNAcentral describes it as "eukaryotic LSU rRNA". It matches the Rfam family "Eukaryotic large subunit ribosomal RNA", at positions 24 to 664 of the family's 3401-position model. The record is from RNAcentral. Lineage: Eukaryota; Fungi.
CCCGCUGAACUUAAGCAUAUCAAUAAGCGGAGGAAAAGAAACUAACAAGGAUUCCCCUAGUAACUGCGAGUGAAGCGGGAAAAGCUCAAAUUUAAAAUCUGGCGGUCUUUCGGCCGUCCGAGUUGUAAUCUGGAGAAGUGCUAUCCGCGCUGGACCGUGUACAAGUCUCCUGGAACGGAGCGUCACAGAGGGUGAGAAUCCCGUCUUUGACACGGACUACCAGGGCUUAUGUGAUGUGCUCUCAAAGAGUCGAGUUGUUUGGGAAUGCAGCUCUAAAUGGGUGGUAAAUUCCAUCUAAAGCUAAAUAUUGGCGAGAGACCGAUAGCGAACAAGUACCGUGAGGGAAAGAUGAAAAGAACUUUGGAAAGAGAGUUAAACAGUACGUGAAAUUGUUGAAAGGGAAACGCUUGAAGUCAGUCGCGUUGUCCAGAAAUCAACCUUGCUUCUGCUUGGUGUACUUUCUGGUUAAUGGGUCAGCAUCAAUUUUGACCGGUGGAUAAAGGUCAGGGGAAUGUGGCAUCUUCGGAUGUGUUAUAGCCCUUGGUUGCAUACAUCGAUUGGGAUUGAGGAACUCAGCAUGCCGCAAGGCCGGGUUUUUAACCACGUACAUGCUUAGGAUGCUGGCAUAAUGGCUUUAAUCGACCCGUCUUGAAACACGG